UUUCCGUAGGUGAACCUGCGGAAGGAUCAUUAUUGAAUAAACCUGAUGUGGUUGUAGCUGGCCCUUUCGGGAGCAUGUGCACACCCGUCGUCUUUAUCUUUCCACCUGUGCACCUUUUGUAGACCUGGAUGUAACACUUUCCGAGGCAACUCGGUCGGGAGGAAUGCUGUCAGCUUUCCUUGAAUGUCCAGGCCUAUGUUCUCAUAUACCCCAAAGAAUGUAACAGAAUGUAUUAUUGGGCCUUGUGCCUAUAAACUAUAUACAACUUUCAGCAACGGAUCUCUUGGCUCUC
RNAcentral lists this unclassified non-coding RNA (292 nucleotides) under plant metagenome. Its description in RNAcentral is "partial contains small subunit ribosomal RNA, internal transcribed spacer 1, and 5.8S ribosomal RNA". The record is from RNAcentral.